GAUGAAGAACGUAGCGAAAUGCGAUAAGUAAUGUGAAUUGCAGAAUUCAGUGAAUCAUCGAAUCUUUGAACGCACAUUGCGCCCGCCAGUAUUCUGGCGGGCAUGCCUGUUCGAGCGUCAUUACAACCCUCAGGCCCCCGGGCCUGGCGUUGGGGAUCGGCAGAAGCCCCCUGUGGGCACACGCCGUCCCUCAAAUACAGUGGCGGUCCCGCCGCAGCUUCCAUUGCGUAGUAGCUAACACCUCGCAACUGGAGAGCGGCGCGGCCAUGCCGUAAAACACCCAACUUCUGAAUGUUGACCUCGAAUCAGGUAGGAAUACCCGCUGAACUUAAGCAUAUCAUAAGCGGAGGA
RNAcentral lists this unclassified non-coding RNA (351 nucleotides) under soil metagenome. RNAcentral's name for it is "partial contains 5.8S ribosomal RNA, internal transcribed spacer 2, and large subunit ribosomal RNA". The stretch from base 1 to 120 matches the Rfam family "5.8S ribosomal RNA", at positions 35 to 154 of the family's 154-position model. The record is from RNAcentral.